AGUUGGCUGUCGCGGGCCUCCAAGCCCUUCUCACGCAACUCCUGGGCUGCGGGUCUCCCCGGCCAGGUGGCGCGGGGAGGGGCCGGGCCACCUCUGGCCUCUGCAAGCCUGCAGGUGCUCCGACGCGGGCGGGGGAGCCUCCGCGCCCCUUCGCAUUCCCCCCUCGCACCCUGGCCGGUCCCGGGGGGCCCCCUCUAGCCCUUGCGCUCUGUAGCCCCCGCAAAGUACUAGCGACCCCCUGGCCUCCUUCCUGGACCCAGGGGCAACCUCGAGGGCCAGGGUCCGGCGGGAGGUGGCCCUGGGUUGCCACGCGCCUGACCCCGGAGGCGGCGCCCGGAGAGCCCGCGCGACCCUCGGUCCGUGAGCGCGACGUUCGCCGGGUCGUCGCGCCCUGGGGGACGGGGCCAGCUCAGCGGCGCCUCUGGCCUUCCGGCGGCCGUGACCUCGGGCACAGGGUCGCUGAGCUUCUCACGCGAGCAGGGACUCAGUAACCCCGGGGGAGCGGUCGCCACGGGCAGCCCCGCCCCGCCUGGCCGGUUGGCUGGGCAGCGAAUGGGGGAAGGGGGACUGGCACCGCCGUGUCCCGGUCGGUGCAAAAAUGAUGUCGGGAGAUCCGGAUCUCCCGACGGAGCCCCUCAGGCCCCCUUUUCCGGGUGAGCUCCAGCUUCUGCCUCAAACCCCCGCGAUGCAUAAGGGGGUGCCUUGUAACUGGGGGUCCCAGGUAUCCGCAGCCUCCACCCCUUAUGUGCAGGCACCUAGAUGAGGCCUCCCUGUGGAGGUCUUGUCUGUCCCCUCCUCCCCCUUCUCGUCCCACCCUGGAGGGCCCAGCCCCCGCCCCGCAGCCCUCCCUCUCCCCCCCACCCACCGGGGCAGCCCCUCCCUCCCCCCUCCAGUAAAGGAAGGCGUGGCCACACGCAGCCUCCUAUAAAGGUGGCAGUGCCCUGGCCCUCACC
Molecule: unclassified non-coding RNA, 953 nt
Filed under: Oryctolagus cuniculus (rabbit)
Lineage: Eukaryota; Metazoa; Chordata; Mammalia; Lagomorpha; Leporidae
Description: CYP1A1
Source: RNAcentral